RNAcentral lists this ribosomal RNA (253 nucleotides) under uncultured bacterium. RNAcentral's name for it is "partial 16S ribosomal RNA". It matches the Rfam family "Bacterial small subunit ribosomal RNA", at positions 524 to 776 of the family's 1533-position model. The record is from RNAcentral.
UACGUAGGGGGCAAGCGUUGUCCGGAAUCAUUGGGCGUAAAGCGCGUGUAGGCGGUCCGGUAAGUCCGCUGUGAAAGUCGGGGGCUCAACCCUCGAAUGCCGGUGGAUACUGUCGGGCUAGAGUGCGGAAGAGGCGAGUGGAAUUCCUGGUGUAGCGGUGAAAUGCGCAGAUAUCAGGAGGAACACCAAUUGCGAAGGCAGCUCGCUGGGACGUUACUGACGCUGAGACGCGAAAGCGUGGGGAGCAAACAGG